Molecule: microRNA precursor, 203 nt
Filed under: Oryza brachyantha (malo sina)
Lineage: Eukaryota; Viridiplantae; Streptophyta; Magnoliopsida; Poales; Poaceae
Description: MIR812 microRNA precursor family
Rfam family: MIR812 microRNA precursor family
Source: Rfam by way of RNAcentral
AAUAAACCAAUCUUUUACUUUUUAGUUACAAUGUUUGACGCUUCAUUUUAUUCAAAAAAUUUUACGAUUAAUAUUUUUAUUUUUAUUAGAUGAUAAAUCAUAAAUAGUACUUUAUGUAUGACUAAUUGUUUAAUUUCUUGAAAAAAUUUUAAAUAAGACGAAUGGUCAAACGUUGGAGACAGAUGAUCAAAAGUUUGCUUUAU